Molecule: small nuclear RNA, 114 nt
Organism: Quercus robur (English oak)
Lineage: Eukaryota; Viridiplantae; Streptophyta; Magnoliopsida; Fagales; Fagaceae
Product: U5 spliceosomal RNA
Exons: 1
Source: RefSeq, a predicted model, not a curated record
AGCCGUGUGGUGAGCACAAAGCGAACUUUUCUUUCGCCUUUUACUAAAGAAUACCGUGUGCUCGCCACUUAUUGCGGGAUACAUUAAUUUUUCGAGGGUUUAACCUAAACCCCU